GUUAUGGUUUCCUUGGAUUCCUUGUCAAUGCUGGACACACUGGAGCUACGGGAGCGGCUGAAGGAAUUGUCCCGGCUUUCUAUGGAAACCCAAGAAGAGAUUUCAACAAAAGCAGCUGAGCCUGGCUGAGUUGAAUGGGAAUAUCGUGAGAAUGGAACGAGGUAAAGCUCAGGAGAACUGAAGGUUCAGUGGGUGUCCUCCGAUCCGACUACCAAGCAAGCUUCCUCUUUUACACCCAGGAACUCGAGAGUGGAUGUCAGUGAGCGACCGGCCUCUGGAGGAGAGAGGCCAGCCCAGUAGGUGUCCGCCUGAGCUCACUGGGUGUGGGUUUUGCCUCCCUAAGCCAAUGCGACACUCCCUUAGGAAUCCCCAGC
Acipenser ruthenus (sterlet) is the source of this 374-nucleotide long non-coding RNA. RefSeq lists it as uncharacterized. The record is from RefSeq and is a predicted model, not a curated record. The transcript has 3 exons. Lineage: Eukaryota; Metazoa; Chordata; Actinopteri; Acipenseriformes; Acipenseridae.